ACCCGCUGGACUUAAGCAUAUCAAUAAGCGGAGGAAAAGAAACUAACAAGGAUUCCCCUAGUAACUGCGAGUGAAGCGGGAAAAGCUCAAAUUUAAAAUCUGGCAGUCUUUGGCUGUCCGAGUUGUAAUCUAGAGAAGUAUUAUCCGCGCUGGACCGUGUACAAGUCUCCUGGAAUGGAGCGUCAUAGAGGGUGAGAAUCCCGUCUUUGACACGGACUGCCAGGGCUUUGUGAUAUGCUCUCAAAGAGUCGAGUUGUUUGGGAAUGCAGCUCAAAAUGGGUGGUAAAUUCCAUCUAAAGCUAAAUAUUGGCGAGAGACCGAUAGCGAACAAGUACCGUGAGGGAAAGAUGAAAAGAACUUUGGAAAGAGAGUUAAACAGUACGUGAAAUUGCUGAAAGGGAAACGCUUGAAGUCAGUCGCGUUGGCCAGGGAUCAACCUUGCUUUUUUGCUUGGCUUACUUUCUGGUCGAUGGGUCAGCAUCAAUUUUGACCGGUGGAAAAAGUUCAAAGGAAUGUGGCAUCUUCGGAUGUGUUAUAGCCUUUGUUCACAUACAUUGGUUGGGAUUGAGGAACUCAGCACGCCGCAAGGCCGGGUUUUUAACCACGUACGUGCUUAGGAUGCUGGCAUAAUGGCUUUAAUCGACCCGUCUUGAA
Molecule: ribosomal RNA, 654 nt
Filed under: uncultured fungus
Lineage: Eukaryota; Fungi
Description: eukaryotic LSU rRNA
Rfam family: Eukaryotic large subunit ribosomal RNA
Source: RNAcentral